AUCCGGUCGAAAUUCCGGACCCGCGAUAUGGGCAAUGGGAAGACGCUUUUGGAAUUCUGAUCCCGCACUGUUGGUAGUUGCGGGCUAGGUGGAGGCUGGGCCAUAUGAAAGUUUGGCGGAAAGGCUGAUACCGGGGAAGGGCGCCCUUCGGGGCAAACGAACUCAGAUGAACGAGGGCCGAGAAAAUCCCCUCAGCUUUAACCAUAUUUGCGACCGUACUGUAAACCGACACAG
This 234-nucleotide ribosomal RNA is filed under the name Pycnococcus provasolii. RNAcentral describes it as "partial Bacterial large subunit ribosomal RNA". It matches the Rfam family "Bacterial large subunit ribosomal RNA", at positions 1424 to 1662 of the family's 2925-position model. The record is from RNAcentral. Lineage: Eukaryota; Viridiplantae; Chlorophyta; Pseudoscourfieldiophyceae; Pseudoscourfieldiales; Pycnococcaceae.